CUUAACCCAAAUCAAAUACAAAAAGUUCAAGCCAACUCAACCUGAAUCCAACCUAAGCAAUAGUCCAAUCCAUUUCGAACUAUAAAUAAAAUUCAAAGUUCACAAAUAAAAUCCAAAACCCAAAGUCUACAAAUAAAACCCAAAACUCAAAGUAUACAAAUAAAACACAAAAACCCAAAGUCCACAAAUAAAAUCCAAAAUCCAAAGUUCACAAAUAAAACCCCAAAACCCAAAGUCCACAAAUAAAAUCCAAAACCCAAAGUCCACAAAUAAAUUCAACAGGCCGUAAAGUUGUUAAACUAAAUCCAAAUUUAAAUGACCGUAAAGUCGUUAAACUAAUAAACUCAACUCAAGCCGACCGCCAUAUCGUUAAACUUAGCAAUUCAACUUCAGCCGACAGGCAAGUCGUUAAACUGAGCAACUUAACUCAAACCGACCGCUAUGUCACUAAACUGAGCAUCUCAACUUCAAGUCGACCUCUAAGUCGUUAAACUGAGCAACUUAACUCAAACUGAUCGCCAUGUCGCUAAACUGAGCAUCUCAACUUCAAGUCAACCGCCAUGCUCUUAAACUAAGCACCUCAACUUCAAACCGACCGCCAUAUCGUUAAACUAAGCAACUCAACAUCAAAUUGACUGCCAUGUCAUUAAACUAAGCACCAAAACUCAAAUCGACCGUCAUGUCGCUAAACUGAGCACCUCAACUUCAAGCCGACCGUCAUGUAAUUAAACUGAGCACUUCAAAUUCAAUCCGACUGUCAUGUCAUUAAACUGAAUACCUCAAACUCAAUCGACCGCUAUGUUGGUAAACUGAGCACCAAAACUCAAUUUGACCGUCAUGUCGGUAAACUGAGAACGAAAACUCAAUCUGACCAGCAUGUCGGUAAACUGAGCACCAAAACUCAAAUCGACCGCCGUGUUAUUAAACUGAGCACCUUAAACUAAAUCCGACCGCCAUGUCGGUAAACUGAGUACCAAAAUUCAAAUUGACCGCCAUAUUAUUAAAGUGAGAAACUCAAUUUAAAGUCGGCCACCAUGUCAUUAAACUGAGCACCACAACUCAAGCCGACUGCUAUGUCACUAAACUGAGCAUCUCAACUUCAAUCGACCGCCAAGUCGCUAAACUGAGCAAACCAUUUCAAACUCCUUUUAACCGCCAUAUCGUUAAACUGAGCAAAUUAAAUUUAAAUUUAAUCUCAAACGACCACCAUGUCACUAGACCGAGCAAUCUAAUUCCAAUCGACCAUGAAGUUUAUAAACUGAGCACUUAGUUUUAUAAAAUCUAUGUACAGUGAGGGAAUGCCCCUGCUUAAGCCAUGUACAUGGCAAAUCAUAUUAUUAAAAUUUUAUUUGCCUGUUUGGUCUCUUUUAUUAUCAGUAUUUGUAUUCGGUCUCUUAAUCGAGGGUUCCUUAACAGUGAAAGUGUGGGGUAAUUAACGACAGAUUUUUGAGUUUGUUGGAAGCCAUGAACCUAUAAUCCUGAUUUAAAAUAAAACUUAAGUAAAUUUAAUCUAUACUAUGAAUGACCACUCGUCUUAGAAAUAUCUACGGCGG
This 1553-nucleotide long non-coding RNA is filed under the name Ananas comosus (pineapple). Its description in RNAcentral is "long non-coding RNA (ACOM_LNC017486)". The record is from RNAcentral. Lineage: Eukaryota; Viridiplantae; Streptophyta; Magnoliopsida; Poales; Bromeliaceae.